RNAcentral lists this non-coding RNA (24 nucleotides) under Arabidopsis thaliana (thale cress). Lineage: Eukaryota; Viridiplantae; Streptophyta; Magnoliopsida; Brassicales; Brassicaceae. The record is from RNAcentral.
AGCGAAAACGGCAAGAUACCUUGU